Molecule: ribosomal RNA, 428 nt
Filed under: uncultured bacterium
Lineage: Bacteria
Description: partial 16S ribosomal RNA
Rfam family: Bacterial small subunit ribosomal RNA
Source: RNAcentral
GUGGGGAAUAUUGGGCAAUGGGCGCAAGCCUGACCCAGCAACGCCGCGUGAGGGAAGAAGGCUUUCGGGUUGUAAACCUCUGUCCUUGGUGACGAAACAAAUGACGGUAGCCAAGGAGGAAGCCCCGGCUAACUACGUGCCAGCAGCCGCGGUAAUACGUAGGGGGCGAGCGUUGUCCGGAAUUACUGGGCGUAAAGGGUGCGUAGGUGGCCUUUUAAGUUGGAUGUGAAAUACCCGGGCUUAACUUGGGGGGUGCAUCUAAUACUGGGAGGCUAGAGUGCAGGAGAGGGAAGCGGAAUUCCUAGUGUAGCGGUGAAAUGCGUAGAUAUUAGGAGGAACACCAGUGGCGAAGGCGGCUUACUGGACGAGUACUGACGCUCAUGUGCGAAAGCGUGGGGAGCAAACAGGAUUAGAUACCCUAGUAGUCC